CGCAGUGGCCACUAUGGGGUCUGGGCUGCCCCUUGUCCUCCUCUUGACCCUCCUUGGCAGCUCACAUGGAACAGGUGAGGGCUAGAGGGCAGGACUCCUGGGUCCCUGUGGCAAGAAGAGGCCAGAGAAAAGGGGUGGGACUUCAUGGUCCCUGAGAGUGACAGAGACACCCCAGUCCUGAGCUUCCAAGAGGCUCUGGAGGGGCAUUGCUGGGGAAGAGGAACUGUGCCGGGGAGCGUGAGCAGGAAGGUUCUGUGUCUCCGGAGGAAUCAGCCCUGACUGCUGGGUCCUAAGCUGUACUUCUGGAUCCGCAGGGCCGGGUAUGACUUUGCAACUGAAGCUGAAGGAGUCUUUUCUGACAAAUUCCUCCUAUGAGUCCAGCUUCCUGGAAUUGCUUGAAAAGCUCUGCCUCCUCCUCCAUCUCCCUUCAGGGACCAGCGUCACCCUCCACCAUGCAAGAUCUCAACACCAUGUUGUCUGCAACACAUGACAGCCAUUGAAGCCUGUGUCCUUCUUGGCCCGGGCUUUUGGGCCGGGGAUGCAGGAGGCAGGCCCCGACCCUGUCUUUCAGCAGGCCCCCACCCUCCUGAGCGGCAAUAAAUAAAAUUCGGUAUGCUGAAUUCAA
Molecule: long non-coding RNA, 625 nt
Filed under: Homo sapiens (human)
Lineage: Eukaryota; Metazoa; Chordata; Mammalia; Primates; Hominidae
Description: non-protein coding lnc-SFTA2-13:1
Source: RNAcentral